RNAcentral lists this ribosomal RNA (492 nucleotides) under uncultured bacterium. Its description in RNAcentral is "partial 16S ribosomal RNA". It matches the Rfam family "Bacterial small subunit ribosomal RNA", at positions 29 to 507 of the family's 1533-position model. The record is from RNAcentral.
AGUGAACGCUGGCGGUAGGCCUAACACAUGCAAGUCGAACGGCAGCACAGUAAGAGCUUGCUCUUACGGGUGGCGAGUGGCGGACGGGUGAGGAAUACAUCGGAAUCUACUUUUUCGUGGGGGAUAACGUAGGGAAACUUACGCUAAUACCGCAUACGACCUACGGGUGAAAGCAGGGGAUCUUCGGACCUUGCGCGAUUGAAUGAGCCGAUGUCGGAUUAGCUAGUUGGCGGGGUAAAGGCCCACCAAGGCGACGAUCCGUAGCUGGUCUGAGAGGAUGAUCAGCCACACUGGAACUGAGACACGGUCCAGACUCCUACGGGAAGCAGCAGUGGGGAAUAUUGGACGAUGGGCGCAAGCCUGAUCCAGCCAUACCGCGUGGGUGAAGAAGGCCUUCGGGUUGUAAAGCCCUUUUGUUGGGAAAGAAAAGCAGCAGGUUAAUACCCCGCUGUUCCGACGGUACCCAAAGAAUAAGCACCGGCUAACUUCGUG